CCAGCUCUGCGCAUUGAAGUAGAGGAGGCUCUCUCGCGUUGCAGCGCUUUGGGGGACCGCUUUCUUCCGCCGUUACCAUUUGUCGUUCAUGUACUCUACCAUUAAGAUUCACUGGCAUAUACAUCAUUUGUCCCCCUUUUCAGGUUUUUAAUGAAAAUGAUUCCAUUAGAAAAAGUUUAUUAAGGUUCAUAUUUCAUAAAAAUUGUUUAAUAUAGUUUUUUUUGGCGGACAGUGUACAUAUUAGUAUGGCAAACUUUUAAUAAAGUGUUUAAAAUUUAUCUUACAUAGUUAUGUGAACUCAAGUGAGUUGGCAGAAAUGGUUUAAAAUUAAGGUUAAUAAAAGGGGUGGUUAAUAAAAGGUGGUGAGUUAGGGUUCGUUGAAGUUAGGGUUCUUUAAUGUUGUGGGAUACAAAUGAUUUCUUUUUAAGGAUUUUCUUCUUGUUCCAAAACAGGACGGAAAAGAAAUUCACAAUCCGCAAAUGAUAGUGGUUGGAGGGGAGAUGGGAUAACUCCUCAUUGCAAGUGUGGUGAUUAUGUUGUGACCAAGUGGCGAGAACUCCCCAGAAUGUUAGGCGUAAAUUUUGGGGAUGUCGUCAUUACAAGGUUUU
RNAcentral lists this long non-coding RNA (608 nucleotides) under Vigna radiata. RNAcentral's name for it is "long non-coding RNA (VRAD_LNC015548)". The record is from RNAcentral. Lineage: Eukaryota; Viridiplantae; Streptophyta; Magnoliopsida; Fabales; Fabaceae.